Molecule: ribosomal RNA, 1824 nt
Filed under: Triticum aestivum (bread wheat)
Lineage: Eukaryota; Viridiplantae; Streptophyta; Magnoliopsida; Poales; Poaceae
Description: partial small subunit ribosomal RNA
Source: RNAcentral
AUGGAGAAACUGAGUCCCACUGGACAUAUUCCUCAACCUUCACGGUCACUGGAUGACCUUCCUAUGAAAGUAGCUUGCACGCUAUCACAAGGAUCUAAUGUAACUAGCAUGGACUUUCAUCCUUCUCGUCAUACGCUACUACUAGUUGGAUCUGCUAAUGGUGAAUUUACACUCUGGGAGAUAAGUAUGCGUGAGAGGCUGGUCACAAAGCCCUUCGAAAUUUGGGACAUGCAAGCAUGUUCAACACAAUUUCAGAAGGGUGUCAUGGCUAAAGACUCUUCCAUGGCCGUUAAUCGAGUUACAUGGAGCCCUGAUGGAGACUUGAUUGGUGUUGCAUUUACAAAAAAUUUGAUCCAUCUGCAUGCAUACCGGCAUCCAAAUGAAACAUAUCAAUUUGUAGAGAUUGAGGCUCAUUCUGGAAGAGUUAAUGACAUAGUUUUCUCUCGGUCACGUAAGCAACUUUAUGUUGUCACUUGCGGAGAUGACAAGCUGAUAAAGGUCUGGGACAUGCAUGGGCAGAAAAUAUAUUCGUUUGAAGGGCAUGAGGCACCUGUGUAUUCUAUUUGCCCUCAUCACAUAGACCAGGUUAAGUUUAUUUUCUCAAUUUCCCUUGAUGGGAAAAUGAAGACAUGGCUUUAUGUGUAUCUGGGGACUAAGCUGGACUUUGAUAUUCCAGGAAAAUGGUGUGGUGCAAUUCUCAAUAGUGCCGAUGGAACUAGGUUGUUCUCUUGCGGAACAAGCAAAGAGGGAGACACACAUUUGGUUGAGUGGAACCAUGAAGGGUCUGUCGAGAGGUCAUAUUCUGGAUUCCGUAAAAAACCAUCUGGUGUAGCGCAGGGUGUCAUGCAGUUUGAUACAGCUCGGAAUCACAUUUUAGCUGCUGGCAAAGAUAACCAAAUUAUGUUUUGGGAUGUCGAUAACACCAACAUGCUUACCUGCAUUGAAGCUGGUGGAGGCUUGCCAAGGUUUCCACGGUUAAGGUUCAAUAAAGAAGGCAAUCUUCUUGCUGUUGAUACAGUAGAUAGUGGUUUUAAGAUACUUGCAAAUACUGAUGGGCUUAGAUCUUUACCGGCUUUUGGUAAUGUGCCUUCCGAAGUAUUCAGAUCGCCAUAUGAAGCUUCUGAGAUGAAGGUCUCAGGUCCUCCUAUUGUCGCGAGCAUCUCUCCUAACAUUGGCCAAACUGAUCACUUAGACACAAAAUAUCCUGCAAAGCCAUCUCAAGUGAAUGGCAGUGAUCCAGCAUUUGGAAGCGUAGAUAAAAAGCAAAGAAUUUCAGAAGAAAAGUCUGAUAAAGCGAAACCUUGGGAGCUGAAGGAGGUUCAGCAAUUUCGUGUUGAUACAAUGCCAGAAACUGACCAAGCCAGCAAGGUAUCCAAGGUGCUCGACGACGACAACCUCCUGAGGGAGAUCAUCAUCCGCGUCAGCUUCCCCACCACCCUCGUCCAUGCCGCCCUCGUCUGCAAGCGCUGGUACCAUCAUGCCUCCGAACCCGCCUUCCUCCGCCUUUUCCACGAGCGCCACNNNCCCUGCCUCCUCGGUUUCGACCUCGAGAACAGGAAGGAUUAUAACAUGGCUUCUAUUCGCUUCAUCCCGAUGCUACCUCAGCCCCCAGAGCUUUCCACCGUCAUCCGCACUGUGCAGAGCUACAGUUGGGGCUUCUACCAUGCCGCCCCGGCCAACUUCCGCUGCUCCCGGAAAGGCAGAGUCAUCGACAGCUUGUACAACCUGGUCAACGACAACAAUUUCACAAGUCGGGUGCACAGUCCAUUAUGUCCUGAGAGAGGCCUGGUUGUCGUCCCACCAUUACCACACAUCCAAAUCUAG